Molecule: ribosomal RNA, 253 nt
Filed under: uncultured bacterium
Lineage: Bacteria
Description: partial 16S ribosomal RNA
Rfam family: Bacterial small subunit ribosomal RNA
Source: RNAcentral
UACGGAGGAUGCAAGCGUUAUCCGGAAUGAUUGGGCGUAAAGCGUCCGCAGGUGGCUGUGUAAGUCUGCUGUUAAAGAGUGAGGCUCAACCUCAUAAAGGCAGUGGAAACUACAUGGCUAGAGUGCGUUCGGGGCAGAGGGAAUUCCUGGUGUAGCGGUGAAAUGCGUAGAGAUCAGGAAGAACACCGGUGGCGAAAGCGUUCUGCUAGACCUGUACUGACACUGAGGGACGAAAGCUAGGGGAGCGAAUGGG